RNAcentral lists this ribosomal RNA (173 nucleotides) under uncultured Streptococcus sp. RNAcentral describes it as "partial 16S ribosomal RNA". It matches the Rfam family "Bacterial small subunit ribosomal RNA", at positions 1210 to 1382 of the family's 1533-position model. Lineage: Bacteria; Bacillati; Bacillota; Bacilli; Lactobacillales; Streptococcaceae. The record is from RNAcentral.
UGGGCUACACACGUGCUACAAUGGUUGGUACAACGAGUUGCGAGUCGGUGACGGCGAGCUAAUCUCUUAAAGCCAAUCUCAGUUCGGAUUGUAGGCUGCAACUCGCCUACAUGAAGUCGGAAUCGCUAGUAAUCGCGGAUCAGCACGCCGCGGUGAAUACGUUCCCGGGCCUU